GUCCCAGCAACAGCGGUCAUACAGGUACAGCCGAGUGUUAUCCUAUAUGGUAACCAGGCGUCAAUAGCGGUC
RNAcentral lists this ribosomal RNA (72 nucleotides) under Hepatozoon griseisciuri. RNAcentral's name for it is "small subunit ribosomal RNA". Lineage: Eukaryota; Apicomplexa; Hepatozoidae. The record is from RNAcentral.